This 301-nucleotide small nuclear RNA is filed under the name Peromyscus maniculatus bairdii (prairie deer mouse). Its description in RNAcentral is "7SK RNA (ENSPEMG00000004083.2)". It matches the Rfam family "7SK RNA". From Rfam's summary of the family: 7SK was discovered as an abundant small nuclear RNA in the mid-70s but a possible function has only recently been suggested. Two independent studies have found that 7SK RNA binds the CDK9/cyclin T complex (known as elongation factor P-TEFb). P-TEFb activates transcription by phosphorylating the C-terminal domain of RNA polymerase II. Lineage: Eukaryota; Metazoa; Chordata; Mammalia; Rodentia; Cricetidae. The record is from Rfam by way of RNAcentral.
UGAUGUGAGAGCUAUCUGGCUGUGACAUCUGUCACCCACUAAUGGUGAAGUUGAUUCUUGGCUGAUCUGGCUGGCUAAGCAAGCAUCCCCUUCCUCCCUCACUGUUCCAUGUGAGACCCUCCUGAAGCUAUGCUUGGUUCAGGAGGGUGCCUGUCCUCAAUACAGGAGGACUGUUCUUUGAUGAAGAAGAGUAUGCACAUGAGCAGCUGUGGUCCCCAGCUAGAAACAACCACCCCAAACAUUUCAGGAGAGCUUGGGUGGAGAACUGCAUCCCAAAGGAUGCACUAUGUGGUCCAGCUGG